This 305-nucleotide ribosomal RNA is filed under the name uncultured bacterium. RNAcentral's name for it is "bacterial SSU rRNA". It matches the Rfam family "Bacterial small subunit ribosomal RNA", at positions 333 to 653 of the family's 1533-position model. The record is from RNAcentral.
UGGUCCCUACGGGAGGCAGCAGUGGGGAAUAUUGGGCAAUGGGCGCAAGCCUGACCCAGCAACGCCGCGUGAAGGAAGAAGGCUUUCGGGUUGUAAACUUCUUUUGUCAGGGACGAAGCAAGUGACGGUACCUGACGAAUAAGCCACGGCUAACUACGUGCCAGCAGCCGCGGUAAUACGUAGGUGGCAAGCGUUAUCCGGAUUUAUUGGGUUUAAAGGGUGCGUAGGCGGAAUGCCAAGUCAGCGGUAAAAUCGCGGGGCUCAACCUCGCUCCGCCGUUGCAACUGGCGUUCUUGAGUGGGCGG